GAAAUGCGAUAAGUAGUGUGAAUUGCAGAAUUCAGUGAAUCAUCGAAUCUUUGAACGCACAUUGCGCCCUUUGGUAUUCCUUAGGGCAUGCCUGUUCGAGCGUCAUCUAAACCUUCAAGCCCUGCUUGGUGUUGGGUGCCUGUCCCGCCUCCGCGCGCGGACUCACCUCAAAUCCAUUGGCGGCCCCCGCGUCGGCGACGAGCGCAGCAGAAACGCGAACUCGUGAGCCCGUCCGGGCGGCUCCCAGAAGCUACACCCACCCAGUUUGACCUCGGAUCAGGUAGGGAUACCCGCUGAACUUAAGC
RNAcentral lists this unclassified non-coding RNA (305 nucleotides) under plant metagenome. Its description in RNAcentral is "partial contains 5.8S ribosomal RNA, internal transcribed spacer 2, and large subunit ribosomal RNA". The stretch from base 1 to 105 matches the Rfam family "5.8S ribosomal RNA", at positions 50 to 154 of the family's 154-position model. The record is from RNAcentral.